RNAcentral lists this ribosomal RNA (459 nucleotides) under uncultured bacterium. RNAcentral's name for it is "partial 16S ribosomal RNA". It matches the Rfam family "Bacterial small subunit ribosomal RNA", at positions 338 to 795 of the family's 1533-position model. The record is from RNAcentral.
CCUACGGGAGGCAGCAGUGAGGAAUAUUGGUCAAUGGGAGAGAUCCUGAACCAGCCAAGCCGCGUGAGGGAAGACGGCCCUAUGGGUUGUAAACCUCUUUUGUCGGAGAACAAAACCCGGGACGUGUCCCGGACUGCGUGUAUCCGAAGAAAAAGCCUCGGCAAACUCCGUGCCAGCAGCCGCGGUAAUACGGAGGAUGCGAGCGUUAUCCGGAUUUAUGGGGUUUAAAGGGUGCGUAGGCGGUCCGUUAAGUCAACGGUAAAAUUGCGGGGCUCAACCCCGUCGAGCCGUUGAAACUGGCAGACUUGAGUUGGCGAGAGGUACGCGGAAUGCGCGGUGUAGCGGUGAAAUGCAUAGAUAUCGCGCAGAACUCCGAUUGCGAAGGCAGCGUACCGGCGCCAGACUGACGCUGAGGCACGAAAGCGUGGGGAGCGAACAGGAUUAGAUACCCGUGUAGUC